CUUUUUAUAUCCUUUUCACAUUCCUCGAUUGUAGUAAAAGUAGUGGAAACCGUGGCUAAAAGGAUGGAGAAAAAGUAGGAAAAGUGGGGAGACUCGGUUGUGGCAGUUGCCACAAUCCUAAAUCCAUGAUGAGUGGCGAGCGCCACUCUUGUAGUAACCGCCACCACUUUUCAAGGGCUGGUGGCGGGCGUCACCUUCCUUUUGGCCCAAUGUGGCGGGUGCCACAUCCUUUGGGUAAUGGGCGCCACAAGCCUAUUUGCU
RNAcentral lists this long non-coding RNA (261 nucleotides) under Lathyrus oleraceus (garden pea). RNAcentral's name for it is "Pisum sativum (pea) long non-coding RNA (PSAT_LNC008444)". The record is from RNAcentral. Lineage: Eukaryota; Viridiplantae; Streptophyta; Magnoliopsida; Fabales; Fabaceae.